Molecule: small nucleolar RNA, 93 nt
Filed under: Rhinolophus ferrumequinum (greater horseshoe bat)
Lineage: Eukaryota; Metazoa; Chordata; Mammalia; Chiroptera; Rhinolophidae
Description: Small nucleolar RNA SNORD116 (ENSRFEG00010013617.1)
Rfam family: Small nucleolar RNA SNORD116
About the family: HBII-85 is a member of the C/D class of snoRNAs, which contain the C (UGAUGA) and D (CUGA) box motifs. HBII-85 is encoded in a tandemly repeated array with another C/D snoRNA, HBII-52, in the Prader-Willi syndrome (PWS) region of chromosome 15. Unlike most other snoRNAs, HBII-85 is expressed prevalently in the brain (but is absent in PWS patients) and lacks any significant complementarity with ribosomal RNA.
Source: Rfam by way of RNAcentral
GGAUCGAUGAUGACUCCCUCAUAUGCAUUCCUUGGAAAAGCUGAACAAAAUGAGUGAGAAUUCCUACCGUCGUUCUCAUCGAAUCUGAGGUCC